This is a long non-coding RNA of Macaca fascicularis (crab-eating macaque), 2408 nucleotides long. NCBI's taxonomy places the organism in Eukaryota, Metazoa, Chordata, Mammalia, Primates, Cercopithecidae. The record is from Ensembl.
CUCAGGCAAAAAAUUUUCCUUCUAUCAAAAAUCAGCUCAGAAAUUGCUCCCUUUCUAACCUCAAGCAGUUCAAAGAAAUCGCUUGUCUUCUAACAAAGAGCAGCCUAAAAGAUCAGUAAAACACAGAUAAGCAACUCGGGUACAGAACCACCCCCUGCGAGGGCGCCGCCCACCAGCAGCCUCAAGCAGUCAGGCAGGGGAUCCGCGCUGGAGCCUCGCUGUGGGAGCCCCAAGGACGCCAGCUGUAAGGUCACUUCUCCGCAGCAGCCCCGUGUAAAGUCCUCCCCGCCCCCCGCACCAGGCUGUAGGAGGAAACCAUCAGCUGUCUCUGAUUUCCCAUUUCCUCAAGCCGGGAGACAAACAUUGUCCCCUGAGGCGAUGGGUGGAGUCCUCACACGUCUUCCAAAGGCGGUUCCGCCCCGCGGGUAUCCGCCGGGCGCCGGGUGCCUCCGGGUGGGACAUCGGUGGCAGCCGGGCGCCACCUGUGGGGCAUCACUCAGGCAGGACCCGGCCUGAGCUCGAGCGUUGCAGGCGCCACGGGAGGAGCGCGCGGAACCCGGAAGAACUAGGCGGAGCGAAACUGAAACCACCCGCAACGAACUUUGACGAAAGCCUUUUGCAGCUGAAAUCCGCAAAUGCCUUUAAUAUCCUCCCUGAGGCGCGCAAGAGACAAAAAUGACUUUAGAGCGACCCCGACCCUAUUUUACCACCCACAGACACACAAAAACGAACACAGCAAAAGUAGAAAACCCAAUCCCUGUGCUCUUUAUGAAACAGGCAUUUAAGAACAGAAAGAAGCAGUGCUCAAGUGGGAGGAAAUAUUUGCAAAACAAUGAAGUGAAAUGAUCUCCUGGGAAAGGUGGGAAGCAGGGGAAAGGCGGAGUGAAACGACAGGGAGUUUCUCAGCGCUUCGGCUCCACCCGGGAGACCAAAGCCCCGGACGGCUCAGCGGGAGGCUCAGAUGUUUCCCCGCGCGGUGUCCUCUGUUUUCCGUCGCCAAGUCCGGGUCCCAAAGGCGCUGGCUGAGAGCCCCACGUUCCUUCGUUGCAUCCUGGCUCUGCUUCUGCUGCGGGACUGUCCCUGGACCGCACAGGCCGGUGACAGCCUCCACCUGGGAUCGGUUGUUUCAGAUCAUUACUCCUGGGAGCCACUUAGGGAACAGCAUUUCCUACCCUGGCUUUCAGCGACAGGCAUCCCUGCGUUUCUUGACAGUCUGCUGCCUUCUCUCAGGGCCUGCUUUAUAUGCUGGAUAAACAGGAGUCCUCCAGGCUUCCCAGGAGCACAGAGGAUGGACAUUGUUCUGGAUUUUCACACUCAGACCCCUCUAGCAUGGGCACUUCUCUGAGCCUGUGAUCCCUUCCUGUACACCGUGCCUUAGAAGUUCUAGAUUUUCUACUUCUCGCCCUGUGAACCAUCCCUUUUCCAAGGUUUCAGGAAUGCAUCUCAUAGCAGAUGGGCAUCAUCACCAGGGGCUUUGCUAACGUUUAAAUCCUGGGACUAUGACAAUAAUCUCUUUUUGAUUCCAAUUGGAUUCUGUCCUUAUCCCACUCACUGAGCUGGAGCAUCCUAGGGCAGCUCCCACACCCUCUCCCACCUCCCGCAGUCCACAGGGGCUGCUGCCAAAGAUCCUCCUCAUCCAGGCCUUUUCCUGCCACCUCCAGCAGGCCUGGCACCUCCAUGACAAGGUCAUGUGCUGACCCAUGUGGGCAGAACCCAGGUGGGAUAUGUCUUGGGAGGAUGCAUGGUUUCAUGGCUACAGGGACCUUCCUUGCCUUGUACUCAAGAAAGGGAGACAUUCUAGUCUUUAACUAGUUGACAUGACAGUCCUGGCUGGGGCACAUCUUGCUCUGCCAGCCCAGCCCCUCAGAGAUAUUUACUUGCAGUCACCAUAAGGAAGAGGAGGGGUCUCAGGUUCCACUUCCCCCCACACCAGCCCUCUCCUGUGUUUAUCUUCCGCACACACACACUAUCUUUGCUAUGACUUCAUCAUCACUCCUAAGUUCAGACCUGAACCACAGUGGUGUGAAGUUCAAGACCAGGUGGAUGAAAGGCCUUUUCUUCACUAUGACUGUUUUAACCACAAGGCCAAAGCCUUUGCUUCUCUGGGGAGGAAGGUCAAUGUCACAAAAGCCUGGGAAGAACAAACUGAAACCCUAAGAGACGUGGUAGAUUUCCUCAAAGAGCAAUUGGCUGACAUUCAAGUGGAGAAUUGAAUACCCAGUGGUAAGUUUAAAAUGGCCCAGGACAGGAGGGAGCAGACACUAUAGUAGCUUAGAAGGCUUUAAUGGGUUCAUGCAAAAAAUAAACCAGGUUGGCGUCCUUGCAUGUGUGUGCCUAAUCUCAGCUGGUCCACCCGAGACCACCUGAACACAAACCCUAGUCCCCUGCACGGCCCCUUAUCCGCUCCG